GGUAAGAGUGGCGUGUUUUUGAGGGUUAGGGUUAGGGUUAGGUAAGAGUGGUGUGUUUUUGAGGGUUAGGGUUAGGGUUCGGUAAGAGUGGCGUGUUUUUGAGGGUUAGGGUUCGGUAAGAGUGGCGUGUUUUUGAGGGUUAGGGUUAGGUAAGAGUGGUGUGUUUUUGAGGGUUAGGGUUAGGGUUCGGUAAGAGUGGCGUGUUUUUGAGGGUUAGGGUUAGGUAAGAGUGGCGUGUUUUUGAGGG
Molecule: long non-coding RNA, 247 nt
Organism: Myripristis murdjan (pinecone soldierfish)
Lineage: Eukaryota; Metazoa; Chordata; Actinopteri; Holocentriformes; Holocentridae
Exons: 3
Source: RefSeq, a predicted model, not a curated record